AGAGUUUGAUCAUGGCUCAGAAGCGAACGCUGGCGGCAGGCUUAACACAUUGCAAGUCGAGCGGGCGUAGCAAUACGUCAGCGGCAGACGGGUGAGUAACGCGUGGGAACGUACCUUUUGGUUCGGAACAACACAGGGAAACUUGUGCUAAUACCGGAUAAGCCCUUACGGGGAAAGAUUUAUCGCCGAAAGAUCGGCCCGCGUCUGAUUAGCUAGUUGGUGAGGUAAUGGCUCACCAAGGCGACGAUCAGUAGCUGGUCUGAGAGGAUGAUCAGCCACAUUGGGACUGAGACACGGCCCAAACUCCUACGGGAGGCAGCAGUGGGGAAUAUUGGACAAUGGGCGCAAGCCUGAUCCAGCCAUGCCGCGUGAGUGAUGAAGGCCCUAGGGUUGUAAAGCUCUUUUGUGCGGGAAGAUAAUGACGGUACCGCAAGAAUAAGCCCCGGCUAACUUCGUGCCAGCAGCCGCGGUAAUACGAAGGGGGCUAGCGUUGCUCGGAAUCACUGGGCGUAAAGGGUGCGUAGGCGGGUCUUUAAGUCAGGGGUGAAAUCCUGGAGCUCAACUCCAGAACUGCCUUUGAUACUGAGGAUCUUGAGUUCGGGAGAGGUGAGUGGAACUGCGAGUGUAGAGGUGAAAUUCGUAGAUAUUCGCAAGAAACACCAGUGGCGAAGGCGGCUCACUGGCCCGAUACUGACGCUGAGGCACGAAAGUCGUGGGAGCAAACAGGAUUAGAUACCCCGGUAGUCC
This 747-nucleotide ribosomal RNA is filed under the name uncultured bacterium. RNAcentral describes it as "bacterial SSU rRNA". It matches the Rfam family "Bacterial small subunit ribosomal RNA", at positions 8 to 796 of the family's 1533-position model. The record is from RNAcentral.